RNAcentral lists this ribosomal RNA (464 nucleotides) under Vreelandella stevensii. Its description in RNAcentral is "partial 16S ribosomal RNA". It matches the Rfam family "Bacterial small subunit ribosomal RNA", at positions 338 to 795 of the family's 1533-position model. Lineage: Bacteria; Pseudomonadati; Pseudomonadota; Gammaproteobacteria; Oceanospirillales; Halomonadaceae. The record is from RNAcentral.
CCUAGGGGAGGCAGCAGUGGGGAAUAUUGGACAAUGGGCGAAAGCCUGAUCCAGCCAUGCCGCGUGUGUGAAGAAGGCCUUCGGGUUGUAAAGCACUUUCAGUGGGGAAGAAAGCCUUGGGGCUAAUACCCUCGAGGAAGGACAUCACCCACAGAAGAAGCACCGGCUAACUCCGUGCCAGCAGCCGCGGUAAUACGGAGGGUGCGAGCGUUAAUCGGAAUUACUGGGCGUAAAGCGCGCGUAGGCGGUCUGAUAAGCCGGUUGUGAAAGCCCCGGGCUCAACCUGGGAACGGCAUCCGGAACUGUCAGGCUAGAGUGCAGGAGAGGAAGGUAGAAUUCCCGGUGUAGCGGUGAAAUGCGUAGAGAUCGGGAGGAAUACCAGUGGCGAAGGCGGCCUUCUGGACUGACACUGACGCUGAGGUGCGAAAGCGUGGGUAGCAAACAGGAUUAGAUACCCAGUAGUC